GACGAACGCUGGCGGCGUGCUUAACACAUGCAAGUCGAACGGAAAGGCCCUGCUUUUGUGGGGUGCUCGAGUGGCGAACGGGUGAGUAACACGUGAGUAACCUGCCCUUGACUUUGGGAUAACUUCAGGAAACUGGGGCUAAUACCGGAUAGGAGCUCCUGCUGCAUGGUGGGGGUUGGAAAGUUUCGGCGGUUGGGGAUGGACUCGCGGCUUAUCAGCUUGUUGGUGGGGUAGUGGCUUACCAAGGCUUUGACGGGUAGCCGGCCUGAGAGGGUGACCGGCCACAUUGGGACUGGGAUACGGCCCAGACUCCUACGGGAGGCAGCAGUGGGGAAUAUUGCACAAUGGGCGGAAGCCUGAUGCAGCAACGCCGCGUGCGGGAUGACGGCCUUCGGGUUGUAAACCGCUUUCGCCUGUGACGAAGCGUGAGUGACGGUAAUGGGUAAAGAAGCACCGGCUAGGUACGUG
This 468-nucleotide ribosomal RNA is filed under the name uncultured bacterium. RNAcentral's name for it is "partial 16S ribosomal RNA". It matches the Rfam family "Bacterial small subunit ribosomal RNA", at positions 28 to 507 of the family's 1533-position model. The record is from RNAcentral.